GAUGAACGCUGGCGGCGUGCCUAAUACAUGCAAGUCGAACGAACUUCCGUUAAUUGAUUAUGACGUACUUGUACUGAUUGAGAUUUUAACACGAAGUGAGUGGCGAACGGGUGAGUAACACGUGGGUAACCUGCCCAGAAGUAGGGGAUAACACCUGGAAACAGAUGCUAAUACCGUAUAACAGAGAAAACCGCAUGGUUUUCUUUUAAAAGAUGGCUCUGCUAUCACUUCUGGAUGGACCCGCGGCGUAUUAGCUAGUUGGUGAGGUAAAGGCUCACCAAGGCAGUGAUACGUAGCCGACCUGAGAGGGUAAUCGGCCACAUUGGGACUGAGACACGGCCCAGACUCCUACGGGAGGCAGCAGUAGGGAAUCUUCCACAAUGGACGCAAGUCUGAUGGAGCAACGCCGCGUGAGUGAAGAAGGGUUUCGGCUCGUAAAGCUCUGUUGUUAAAGAAGAACGUGGGUAAGAGUAACUGUUUACCCAGUGACGGUAUUUAACCAGAAAGCCACGGCUAACUACGUGCCAGCAGCCGCGGUAAUACGUAGGUGGCAAGCGUUAUCCGGAUUUAUUGGGCGUAAAGCGAGCGCAGGCGGUCUUUUAAGUCUAAUGUGAAAGCCUUCGGCUCAACCGAAGAAGUGCAUUGGAAACUGGGAGACUUGAGUGCAGAAGAGGACAGUGGAACUCCAUGUGUAGCGGUGAAAUGCGUAGAUAUAUGGAAGAACACCAGUGGCGAAGGCGGCUGUCUGGUCUGCAACUGACGCUGAGGCUCGAAAGCAUGGGUAGCGAACAGGAUUAGAUACCCUGGUAGUCCAUGCCGUAAACGAUGAUUACUAAGUGUUGGAGGGUUUCCGCCCUUCAGUGCUGCAGCUAACGCAUUAAGUAAUCCGCCUGGGGAGUACGACCGCAAGGUUGAAACUCAAAAGAAUUGACGGGGGCCCGCACAAGCGGUGGAGCAUGUGGUUUAAUCCGAAGCUACGCGAAGAACCUUACCAGGUCUUGACAUCUUCUGACAGUCUAAGAGAUUAGAGGUUCCCUUCGGGGACAGAAUGACAGGUGGUGCAUGGUUGUCGUCAGCUCGUGUCGUGAGAUGUUGGGUUAAGUCCCGCAACGAGCGCAACCCUUAUUACUAGUUGCCAGCAUUAAGUUGGGCACUCUAGUGAGACUGCCGGUGACAAACCGGAGGAAGGUGGGGACGACGUCAAAUCAUCAUGCCCCUUAUGACCUGGGCUACACACGUGCUACAAUGGAUGGUACAACGAGUCGCGAGACCGCGAGGUUAAGCUAAUCUCUUAAAACCAUUCUCAGUUCGGACUGUAGGCUGCAACUCGCCUACACGAAGUCGGAAUCGCUAGUAAUCGCGGAUCAGCAUGCCGCGGUGAAUACGUUCCCGGGCCU
RNAcentral lists this ribosomal RNA (1397 nucleotides) under uncultured bacterium. Its description in RNAcentral is "bacterial SSU rRNA". It matches the Rfam family "Bacterial small subunit ribosomal RNA", at positions 28 to 1381 of the family's 1533-position model. The record is from RNAcentral.